CUGAAGAAGGAGGUGACAGUCAAUUAUUUAAUUUUCUGUUUUUUCUUGUGCAUCCCCUACGUCCUAAGGAGCAGUUGCUACCUCAUAUUAUAUUAUCUGCUCAAGGUCACCUACUACUUUGGUUGCUGUGUCCAAGUUGUUUCCCUGAGCUCUUUCCAUGUGUUUCAGUUUGGUUCCAGAUUGACUUCUACCACCCCACAGUGUGGUGCUGUACUGCAUGGAAUGAGAGUACUGCCUUGCAACCCCACCUGCUUGGAACUUCUGCAUUAAAUAAACAUUUUCUGA
Non-coding RNA from Lonchura striata (white-rumped munia), 285 nucleotides. NCBI's taxonomy places the organism in Eukaryota, Metazoa, Chordata, Aves, Passeriformes, Estrildidae. The record is from RefSeq and is a predicted model, not a curated record.